CACGUAGGUGGCAAGCGUUAUCCGGAAUUAUUGGGCGUAAAGAGCGCGCAGGUGGUUGAUUAAGUCUGAUGUGAAAGCCCACGGCUUAACCGUGGAGGGUCAUUGGAAACUGGUCGACUUGAGUGCAGGAGAGGUUAUCGGAAUUCCCGGUGUAGCGGUGAAAUGCGUAGAGAUCGGGAGGAACACCAGUGGCGAAGGCGGGUGACUGGACUGCAACUGACGCUGAGGCGCGAAAGUGUGGGGAGCAAACAGGAUUAGAUACCCCUGUA
RNAcentral lists this ribosomal RNA (269 nucleotides) under uncultured prokaryote. RNAcentral describes it as "partial 16S ribosomal RNA". It matches the Rfam family "Bacterial small subunit ribosomal RNA", at positions 524 to 792 of the family's 1533-position model. The record is from RNAcentral.